Molecule: long non-coding RNA, 446 nt
Filed under: Ananas comosus (pineapple)
Lineage: Eukaryota; Viridiplantae; Streptophyta; Magnoliopsida; Poales; Bromeliaceae
Description: long non-coding RNA (ACOM_LNC025313)
Source: RNAcentral
UAAUAAAUCAGUAUAUUCAUCUGAAUGGAUUUAUUUAAAUCAGGGAAAAUUUUAAAUAUCGUUUCUAUGAUUUUAUAUUUUCUUACUUUACUACCCCUAUAGUUUAAAAUGUAUUAAUUUAGUAUCUCAUAAUUUUAUUUUUCUCUUUUUAUUAUCCCCUCCACUAAUUUUUUUUCUUUAAAUCAGUGAAUUAAAAGAUACUAAAGUGAAUAUUUGAUAAAUUUAGGUCGGGUAUCUGAAUUUUUUUGUAUAUAAUUUAACGAAAUGUUAACGGAGAAGCUGACGUAAAAAAAAAAAAGAAACCAUAAUGUAUUAAAUUGAUACACUUUAAAUAACAGGGUAGUAAAGUGAAAAAGUACAAAAAUCAUAAUAUAUUAAAUUGAUAUAUUUUAAAUAAUAUGGUACUAAAGUGAAAAAGUGCGAAAUCGAAUGGAUAAUAUUUGAAG